GGUCCACAAUAACCCGUUUCUCCAUGUUCCCCGGCGCGUUAUCUCACGCGCCAAAUCCAACGGUUUUCUUCCGUUCCUCCACCGUAACGCCGUCGUCAUCAACAUCUUUUAAGUGCAACUACUCUAUUCGAUUAUCCAUGGCUUCCUCCGUCAGAAUAGUCGUUGUCGGAGACGUGCAUGAUGAUUGGGAUCUACCAGAGGAUUCGAAGGCUCUUGAGCUGUUGCAGCCAGAUUUGGUGUUGUUUACAGGUGACUUUGGCAAUGAAAACGUUGAACUUGUUAAAAGCAUUGCAGCACUCAAAAUGGCUAAAGCGGCUAUUCUAGGGAACCAUGAUGCUUGGAAUACUCAAAAUUUUUCUGAAAAGCGCAAAGACGCGGUCCAACUCCAGCUGGAAAGUUUUGGGGAAGAGCACGUUGGUUACAAGCGAUUGGACUUCCAUCCGUUGAAGCUCAGUGUUGUUGGAGGACGACCAUUUUCUUGUGGAGGUGAAAGGUUAUUUAGAAAACAACUCCUGGCUAAAAGAUAUGGAGUUAACAACAUGAACGAGAGUGCAAAAAGAAUAUCUGAUGCUGCUUUGGGGACACCAAAGAAUCAUUCCAUUAUUCUUCUUGCUCAUAAUGGGCCCACUGGUCUCGGUUCCAACUUGAAUGACAUUUGUGGGAGAGAUUGGGUGCGUGAAGGUGGAGACCAUGGUGACCCAGAUUUAGCACUUGCUAUUGCUCAACUUAAAGGCAACACCAAACAUUCUGUUCCCCUUGUUGUAUUUGGCCACAUGCAUAAAGAGCUGGCGUUUGGAAACGGUCCACGUAAAAUGAUUGUGGUUGGAGAUGACAACACCAUAUACCUAAACGGGGCCAUCGUUCCUCGGGUCAAAAGAUUCCACGACAACCCAUUGACCGAAAACCCAAAACACACGUUACGCGCCUUUACUUUAAUCGACUCAAAAGAAGGAAAACUAGAGAAAAUCGCAGAAACUUGGGUGUCGGUAAUUGGAGACAACACCAGUGUUGAAGAGGAACACAUACUAUUUAGUAGUAACAUGCUUAACACCUCUAAUGUAUAAGGUGAAGUUAACAUGAAAGUAGUGGUCCACCAUGACCCAGACAUGUUGAAAGGUGAUUGCAGGUCAAUUUUUUGUCACUGGAAGCAGCCUCUCUAUUCCUAUAAGAUAGAGGUAAGACUGUCUGCAUCUUACCCUCCUGAGAUCUUACCUUAGCUUUGCUAUCGGUGGGAUUUACUAAGUACGAUGAUCAUGAUUUGAUGUGUUAUAUUUUGUGAGAAUAGUUGUAUGCACAUGAUCUUGAUAUUUUUUUUUUCGGGUAUCUACCUUUACUUGCGUAUAAGGUGUACACAAAGGCGUUUUAGAGAUCAGUAAGGCGUGAAUCAUAUGCGACUACCCGUGUUUUUAGAUUAUGUAUCUUUAAAAAGUGAAUUUUAGUAAACUUUGAACAGAAGUUAAAAUCAAUAGAAUAGUUUUUCUAA
Molecule: RNA transcript, 1483 nt
Organism: Helianthus annuus (common sunflower)
Lineage: Eukaryota; Viridiplantae; Streptophyta; Magnoliopsida; Asterales; Asteraceae
Exons: 11
Source: RefSeq, a predicted model, not a curated record